GAUGAAGAACGCAGCGAAAUGCGAUAAGUAAUGUGAAUUGCAGAAUUCAGUGAAUCAUCGAAUCUUUGAACGCACAUUGCGCCCGCCAGUAUUCUGGCGGGCAUGCCUGUCCGAGCGUCAUUUCAACCAUCAAGCCCCGGGCCUGUGUUGGGGACCUGCGUCCGACGCAGGCCCUGAAAACCAGUGGCGGGCUCGCUGUCCACACCGAGCGUAGUAACUAACCUCGCUAUGGAGUGGCGCGGGCGCCUGCCGUAAAACCCCCAAUUUCACAAGGUUGACCUCGGAUCAGGUAGGAAUACCCGCUGAACUUAAGCAUAUCAAUAAGCGGAGGA
This 332-nucleotide unclassified non-coding RNA is filed under the name soil metagenome. Its description in RNAcentral is "partial contains 5.8S ribosomal RNA, internal transcribed spacer 2, and large subunit ribosomal RNA". The stretch from base 1 to 120 matches the Rfam family "5.8S ribosomal RNA", at positions 35 to 154 of the family's 154-position model. The record is from RNAcentral.